UUCCUUGUCGUCUCAUCGAUAGGACAGCGGAUUUUGAUUCCGCCAAUCUUGGUUCGAACCCAAGCGAGGGAGCCA
This 75-nucleotide transfer RNA is filed under the name Asaia siamensis. RNAcentral's name for it is "tRNA-Gln". It matches the Rfam family "tRNA". From Rfam's summary of the family: Transfer RNA (tRNA) molecules are approximately 80 nucleotides in length. Their secondary structure includes four short double-helical elements and three loops (D, anti-codon, and T loops). Further hydrogen bonds mediate the characteristic L-shaped molecular structure. tRNAs have two regions of fundamental functional importance: the anti-codon, which is responsible for specific mRNA codon recognition, and the 3' end, to which the tRNAs corresponding amino acid is attached (by aminoacyl-tRNA synthetases). tRNAs cope with the degeneracy of the genetic code in two manners: having more than one tRNA (with a specific anti-codon) for a particular amino acid; and 'wobble' base-pairing, i.e. permitting non-standard base-pairing at the 3rd anti-codon position. Lineage: Bacteria; Pseudomonadati; Pseudomonadota; Alphaproteobacteria; Acetobacterales; Acetobacteraceae. The record is from RNAcentral.